UGCAGUCGAACGAUGAUGCCCAGCUUGCUGGGUUGAUUAGUGGCGAACGGGUGAGUAACACGUGAGUAACCUGCCCCUGACUCUGGGAUAAGCGUUGGAAACGACGUCUAAUACUGGAUAUGAUCACUGGUCGCAUGGCCUGGUGGUGGAAAGAUUUUUUGGUUGGGGAUGGACUCGCGGCCUAUCAGCUUGUUGGUGAGGUAAUGGCUCACCAAGGCGACGACGGGUAGCCGGCCUGAGAGGGUGACCGGCCACACUGGGACUGAGACACGGCCCAGACUCCUACGGGAGGCAGCAGUGGGGAAUAUUGCACAAUGGGCGAAAGCCUGAUGCAGCAACGCCGCGUGAGGGAUGACGGCCUUCGGGUUGUAAACCUCUUUUAGUAGGGAAGAAGCGAAAGUGACGGUACCUGCAGAAAAAGCACCGGCUAACUACGUGCCAGCAGCCGCGGUAAUACGUAGGGUGCAAGCGUUGUCCGGAAUUAUUGGGCGUAAAGAGCUCGUAGGCGGUUUGUCGCGUCUGCUGUGAAAUCCCGAGGCUCAACCUCGGGCUUGCAGUGGGUACGGGCAGACUAGAGUGCGGUAGGGGAGAUUGGAAUUCCUGGUGUAGCGGUGGAAUGCGCAGAUAUCAGGAGGAACACCGAUGGCGAAGGCAGAUCUCUGGGCCGUAACUGACGCUGAGGAGCGAAAGCAUGGGGAGC
This 700-nucleotide ribosomal RNA is filed under the name Curtobacterium sp. RNAcentral describes it as "bacterial SSU rRNA". It matches the Rfam family "Bacterial small subunit ribosomal RNA", at positions 56 to 769 of the family's 1533-position model. Lineage: Bacteria; Bacillati; Actinomycetota; Actinomycetes; Micrococcales; Microbacteriaceae. The record is from RNAcentral.